Trifolium pratense (red clover) is the source of this 589-nucleotide long non-coding RNA. RefSeq lists it as uncharacterized. Lineage: Eukaryota; Viridiplantae; Streptophyta; Magnoliopsida; Fabales; Fabaceae. The record is from RefSeq and is a predicted model, not a curated record. The transcript has 3 exons.
UUAAGUUUGUGUUUCUUCUAGUGUUGAAGUUGGUGCCACAGUUUUUGUGUUUCUUCUAGUGCUGAAGUUGGUGCCGAAGUUAUACACGGUGCCAUUGGUGCCGAGCGGAGCGUUUUUUCCUAUGAUGCAAUGGAAUAUUGAUGAGGUCCAGGAGUUACCUUCUGUUUUUAUAACUUUUCUUGCAUGGAGAUUAUAGCCAAGUGUGGUUCGUCAAAAUAAUGAUCUUCUCUCAUCAAAGCAUGGAGCCUCAAAUUUUGGUUUGCAUAUUUAUUUUUAAAGCAUACAUUUUCAUGAUAUUUUAUUUCCUCUGGUGUUGCAGGGAUGAUAAUACUUUUCUUUCUCAUGUUUGAUCUUCCCGUUUUGUAUUCUGAUUCUUUUUUUUGGUCUUUUGAUUGAGGUUUGAUUUGGUUCUGAAUUUGAUACAUGUUAAUCGAAAAACGACGUUUUCUGUAGUGCGUUAUGUUUUGAAACAAUAACAUUUGAUUAGUAUCAAGACUCAGGUUUAUUUUGGUACCUCUACUUUGAAUGCGAAUUAUUUUCGUUUCUUUUUUUUUAUCUGGCCGAUUCUUGUUGUCUAGUCUUCUGGAUU